RNAcentral lists this ribosomal RNA (498 nucleotides) under uncultured bacterium. RNAcentral's name for it is "partial 16S ribosomal RNA". It matches the Rfam family "Bacterial small subunit ribosomal RNA", at positions 28 to 523 of the family's 1533-position model. The record is from RNAcentral.
GAUGAACGCUAGCGGCAGGCCUAAUACAUGCAAGUCGAGGGGUAACAGGGUAGCAAUACUGCUGACGACCGGCGCACGGGUACGUAACGCGUAUGCAACUUACCUUCAACUGGAAGAUAGCCCCUCGAAAGAGGGAUUAAUACCCCAUAGUAUUACGAAGUGGCAUCAUUUUGUAAUUAAAGCUCCGGCGGUUGAAGAUAGGCAUGCGUGACAUUAGCUAGUUGGUGAGGUAAUGGCUCACCAAGGCUACGAUGUCUAGGGGAUCUGAGAGGACUAACCACCACACUGGUACUGAGACACGGACCAGACUCCUACGGGAGGAAGCAGUAAGGAAUAUUGGUCAAUGGAGGCAACUCUGAACCAGCCAUGCCGCGUGCAGGAUGACGGCCCUAUGGGUUGUAAACUGCUUUUAUACGGGAAGAAAACCCUCUACGUGUAGAGGACUGACGGUACCGUAAGAAUAAGGAUCGGCUAACUCCGUGCCAGCCGCCGCCGUAA